CUGGAGUGAUGGAGGUAGAUAUAUAUGUAUAGGUGACAGGGAUACUGGUGUGAUGGAGGUAGAUAUGUAUAGGGGUAAGGAGACAGGGAUACUGGUGUGAUGGAGGUAGAUAUGUAUAGGUGACAGGGAUACUGGAGUGAUGGAGGUAGAUAUGUAUAGGGGUAAGGAGACAGGGAUACUGGAGUGAUGGAGGUAGAUAUGUAUAGGUGACAGGGAUACUGGAGUGAUGGAGGUAGAUAUGUAUAGGGGUAAGGUGACAGGGAUACUGGAGUGAUGGAGGUAGAUAUGUAUAGGUGACAGGGAUACUGGAGUGAUGGAGGUAGAUAUGUAUAGGGGUAAGGUGACAGGGAUACUGGAGUGAUGGAGGUAGAUAUGUAUAGGGGUAAGGUGACAGGGAUACUGGAGUGAUGGAGGUAGAUAUGUAUAGGGGUAAGGUGACAGGGAUACUGGAGUGAUGGAGGUAGAUAUGUAUAGGGGUAAGGAGACAGGGAUACUGAAGUGAUGGAGGUAGAUAUGUAUAGGGGUAAGGUGACAGGGAUACUGGAGUGAUGGAGGUAGAUAUGUAUAGGGGUAAGGAGACAGGGAUACUGGAGUGAUGGAGGUAGAUAUGUAUAGGGGUAAGGUGACAGGGAUACUGGUGUGAUGGAGGUAGAUAUGUAUAGGGGUAAGGAGACAGGGAUACUGGAGUGAUGGAGGUAGAUAUGUAUAGGGGUAAGGUGACAGGGAUACUGGAGUGAUGGAGGUAGAUAUGUAUAGGUGACAGGGAUACUGGAGUGAUGGAGGUAGAUAUGUAUAGGGGUAAGGAGACAGGGAUACUGGAGUGAUGGAGGUAGAUAUGUAUAGGGGUAAGGUGACUCGGCAUCAGGAUAUAAGAUAAACAGAGUAGCAGCAGCUUGUAUGUGAAUUGGUGUGUGUGUGUGUAGAGUCAGUAUACAGAGCCUUCGGAAGGUUCUCAGACCCCUUGACUUGUUCCACAUUUUGUCACGUUACAGCCUCAUUCUAAAAUUGAUUAAAUAGUUUUUCUCCCCCUCAUCAAUCUACACACAUGCUUGUGAGUAAGCAUUUCACUGUAAGGUCUACUACACCUGUUGUAUUCAGCAUUUCAC
Oncorhynchus keta (chum salmon) is the source of this 1106-nucleotide long non-coding RNA. RefSeq lists it as uncharacterized. The record is from RefSeq and is a predicted model, not a curated record. The transcript has 4 exons. Lineage: Eukaryota; Metazoa; Chordata; Actinopteri; Salmoniformes; Salmonidae.